Molecule: ribosomal RNA, 468 nt
Filed under: uncultured bacterium
Lineage: Bacteria
Description: partial 16S ribosomal RNA
Rfam family: Bacterial small subunit ribosomal RNA
Source: RNAcentral
GACGAACGCUGGCGGCGUGCUUAACACAUGCAAGUCGAACGGAAAGGCCCUGCUUUUGUGGGGUGCUCGAGUGGCGAACGGGUGAGUAACACGUGAGUAACCUGCCCUUGACUUUGGGAUAACUUCAGGAAACUGGGGCUAAUACCGGAUAGGAGCUCCUGCUGCAUGGUGGGGGUUGGAAAGUUUCGGCGGUUGGGGAUGGACUCGCGGCUUAUCAGCUUGUUGGUGGGGUAAUGGCUUACCAAGGCUUUGACGGGUAGCCGGCCUGGGAGGGUGACCGGCCACAUUGGGACUGAGAUACGGCCCAGACUCCUACGGGAGGCAGCAGUGGGGAAUAUUGCACAAUGGGCGGAAGCCUGAUGCAGCAACGCCGCGUGCGGGAUGACGGCCUUCGGGUUGUAAACCGCUUUCGCCUGUGACGAAGCGUGAGUGACGGUAAUGGGUAAAGAAGCACCGGCUAACUACGUG